CACAACCGCUUCUUCUUCUUCAUGAAGCUCGAAGAUAUACGCCUGGAUAGAGGAGGAAGCUGCGCUUCAUGUCUUCUUCAAAAAUGAAACAGCAGCCAUGAGAGAACACCGAUCCUAGCCAUAAAACAGGAACCCUCACGUCUCUUCUCCUUCCUCAGCAGUCAUUGAACACCAUAACACACAGACACGAGAGACCUAGGAUCCAAACAACGCCAUCGACGACCAAAAACGACCUUCCGUUCUGCUUUCGUCUUCAUGUUCUAAACACAAGACCCAAAAUCGAUAGCUUAUUCUUAACAGAGACCUAGAACCAAAGCUCGAUCCCAACCAUUUACAUGGAGUUUUGGAGCCUCCUAGUUCACUGAAACAAGAAGCUUCAUCCGCUGGGAGCUUGAUUUGAAACCAUUUUCCUCAGCCACUGAACGACUUUUUAAGUUCAAGUUUGUCUGCAAAGAUCGGGUUUCCCCGGCAACCUUUGAGGUCUGUUUGAGCUGAAACCAUUUCCUCAGCCGCUGAACGACUUUUUAAGUUCAAGUUCGUCGGCAAAGAUCGGGUUUCCCCGGAAACGUUUGAGGUCUGUUUGAGGUCGCCGGAAAGGUUCGACUGGAGUUCCGGCGAGUUUGAGACUUUUGUCAUUCGUUGGUUCCCUUGUCG
RNAcentral lists this long non-coding RNA (654 nucleotides) under Nicotiana benthamiana. RNAcentral's name for it is "long non-coding RNA (NBEN_LNC017550)". The record is from RNAcentral. Lineage: Eukaryota; Viridiplantae; Streptophyta; Magnoliopsida; Solanales; Solanaceae.